GUGUGGGUAGCUUAGUGAUUAAGAUGUUGGACUUCUGAUCAGAAGGUCGUGAGUUCAAAUCCCAGCAUCGCCA
Pangasianodon gigas (Mekong giant catfish) is the source of this 73-nucleotide non-coding RNA. Lineage: Eukaryota; Metazoa; Chordata; Actinopteri; Siluriformes; Pangasiidae. The record is from the annotation of a GenBank genome assembly.